RNAcentral lists this ribosomal RNA (1114 nucleotides) under uncultured fungus. RNAcentral's name for it is "eukaryotic LSU rRNA". The stretch from base 487 to 1114 matches the Rfam family "Eukaryotic large subunit ribosomal RNA", at positions 1 to 649 of the family's 3401-position model. The record is from RNAcentral. Lineage: Eukaryota; Fungi.
AACAAGGUUUCCGUAGGUGAACCUGCGGAAGGAUCAUUAUAGAGAACGUGCCCGUUGGGUACAUCUCCCACCCUCUGUUUACAAUACCUUUGUUGCUUUGGCGGGCUACCCUGCACAGCAGUUCUACGCCCGCCAAAGGACCCAAAACUCUUUGUUUUAUGCCGUCUGAAUACUAUACAAUAGUUAAAACUUUCAACAACGGAUCUCUUGGUUCUGGCAUCGAUGAAGAACGCAGCGAAAUGCGAUAAGUAAUGUGAAUUGCAGAAUUCAGUGAAUCAUCGAAUCUUUGAACGCACAUUGCACCUCUUGGUAUUCCAGGAGGUAUGCCUGUUCGAGCGUCAUUGCAACCCUCAAGCCUGGCUUGGUAUUGGGUGCCACUCUAGGUGCGCCCCAAAAUUAUCAGCAGCGGCAUCUGGCCUCCAGCGUAGUAAAUUUCUCGCUCUGGGGCUUGGUGACUGGCGGCUCAGAACCCAAAUUAUCAAAGGUUGACCUCGGAUCAGGUAGGGAUACCCGCUGAACUUAAGCAUAUCAAUAAGCGGAGGAAAAGAAACCAACAGGGAUUGCCUCAGUAACGGCGAGUGAAGCGGCAACAGCUCAAAUUUGAAAUCUGACUUCGGUCCGAGUUGUAAUUUGUAGAAGAUGCUUCGGGCGUGGUCCAGUCUAAGUUCCUUGGAACAGGACGUCAUAGAGGGUGAGAAUCCCGUAUGUGACUGGGUACCUAAGCUCAUGUGAAGCUCUUUCGACGAGUCGAGUUGUUUGGGAAUGCAGCUCAAAAUUGGUGGUAAAUUUCAUCUAAAGCUAAAUACCGGCCAGAGACCGAUAGCGCACAAGUAGAGUGAUCGAAAGAUGAAAAGCACUUUGGAAAGAGAGUUAAACAGUACGUGAAAUUGUUGAAAGGGAAGCGCUUGCAACUAGACUUGCAUGCAGUUGAUCAUCCGGUGUUCUCACUGGUGCACUCGACUGCAUUCAGGCCAGCAUUGGUUUCAGUGGCUGGAUAAAGGCCUUGGGAAUGUAGCUUCACUCGGGGAGUGUUAUAGCCCUUGGUGCAAUGCAGCCUACUGGGACCGAGGACCGCGCUUCGGCUAGGAUGCUGGCGUAAUAGUUGUAAGCGACC